CACAGGGCCACCAACCUCCACACUCAAUACCAGCCCAGGCUGCCCACAGCCCCAUCCAACCUGGCCUUCAACACCUCCACGGAUGGACGGGGCAUCCACAGCCUCUCUGGGCAGCUGUUCCAGCACCUCCCCACUCUCUCUGUCAAGAACUUCCCCCUCACACCCAUCCUCAAUCUGCCCUCCUUCAGCUUCAAACCAUUGCCCCUUGUCCUGCUCUUAUCUCCCC
This 226-nucleotide long non-coding RNA is filed under the name Gallus gallus (chicken). The record is from RNAcentral. Lineage: Eukaryota; Metazoa; Chordata; Aves; Galliformes; Phasianidae.